This 253-nucleotide ribosomal RNA is filed under the name uncultured bacterium. RNAcentral's name for it is "partial 16S ribosomal RNA". It matches the Rfam family "Bacterial small subunit ribosomal RNA", at positions 524 to 776 of the family's 1533-position model. The record is from RNAcentral.
UACGUAGGGUGCGAGCGUUGUCCGGAAUUACUGGGCGUAAAGAGCUCGUAGGUGGUUUGUCGCGUUGUUCGUGAAAACUCACAGCUUAACUGUGGGCGUGCGGGCGAUACGGGCAGACUGGAGUACUGCAGGGGAGACUGGAAUUCCUGGUGUAGCGGUGGAAUGCGCAGAUAUCAGGAGGAACACCGGUGGCGAAGGCGGGUCUUUGGGCAGUAACUGACGCUGGGGAGCGAAAGCGUGGGGAGCGAACAGG